RNAcentral lists this ribosomal RNA (400 nucleotides) under uncultured bacterium. Its description in RNAcentral is "bacterial SSU rRNA". It matches the Rfam family "Bacterial small subunit ribosomal RNA", at positions 28 to 424 of the family's 1533-position model. The record is from RNAcentral.
GACGAACGCUGGCGGCGUGCUUAACACAUGCAAGUCGAACGAUUAAAGCUCUCUUCGGAGAGUGUAUAGAGUGGCGCACGGGUGAGUAACACGUAAGUAAUCUACCCUCGGGUGGGGAAUAACAUCGGGAAACCGAUGCUAAUACCGCAUAAUGCAGCGGCUCCUAAUGGAGACAGUUGUUAAAGGAUUUAUUCGCCUGGGGAGAGCUUGCGGCAGAUUAGCUAGNGGUAAGGUAAUGGCUUACCAAGGCUACGAUCUGUAGCCGGUCUAAGAGGACGGUCGGUCACACUGACACUGAAUAACGGGUCAGACUCCUACGGGAGGCAGCAGUCGGGAAUUUUGGGCAAUGGGCGAAAGCCUGACCCAGCAACGCCGCGUGAAGGAUGAAGUAUUUCGGUAU